UUCGGGUGAGCGGCCCACGGAUGAGUAUCGCGUGGGAACGUGCCCUUCUCUACGGAAUAGUCCUGGGAAACUGGGGGUAAUACCGUAUACGCCCUUUGGGGGAAAGAUUUAUCGGAGAAGGAUCGGCCCGCGUUGGAUUAGGUAGUUGGUGGGGUAAUGGCUCACCAAGCCGACGAUCCAUAGCUGGUUUGAGAGGAUGAUCAGCCACACUGGGACUGAGACACGGCCCAGACUCCUACGGGAGGCAGCAGUGGGGAAUCUUAGACAAUGGGGGCAACCCUGAUCUAGCCAUGCCGCGUGAGUGAUGAAGGCCUUAGGGUUGUAAAGCUCUUUCAGCUGUGAAGAUAAUGACGGUAGCAGCAGAAGAAGUCCCGGCUAACUCCGUGCCAGCAGCCCGCGGUAAUACGGAGGGGACUAGCGUUGUUCGGAAUUACUGGGCGUAAAGCGCACGUAGGCGGAUCGGAAAGUUGGGGGUGAAAUCCCGGGGCUCAACCCCGGAACUGCCUUUCAAAACUAUCGGUCUGGAGUUCGAGAGAGGUGAGUGGAAUUCCGAGUGGAGAGGUGAAAUUUCGUAGAUUUUCGGAGGAAC
This 589-nucleotide ribosomal RNA is filed under the name Paracoccus sp. HPC719. RNAcentral's name for it is "bacterial SSU rRNA". It matches the Rfam family "Bacterial small subunit ribosomal RNA", at positions 86 to 707 of the family's 1533-position model. Lineage: Bacteria; Pseudomonadati; Pseudomonadota; Alphaproteobacteria; Rhodobacterales; Paracoccaceae. The record is from RNAcentral.